Molecule: ribosomal RNA, 620 nt
Filed under: uncultured Basidiomycota
Lineage: Eukaryota; Fungi; Basidiomycota
Description: LSU rRNA
Rfam family: Eukaryotic large subunit ribosomal RNA
Source: RNAcentral
CCUCGAAUCAGGCGGGACUACCCGCUGAACUUAAGCAUAUCAAUAAGCGGAGGAAAAGAAACUAACAAGGAUUCCCCUAGUAACGGCGAGUGAAGCGGGAAGAGCUCAAAUUUAAAAUCUGGUAGUCUUUGGCUGCCCGAGUUGUAAUCUGGAGAAGCGUUUUCCGCGUUGGACUGUGUACAAGUUUCCUGGAUACGGAACAUCAUAGAGGGUGAGAAUCCCGUCCUUGACACAGACGCCCAAUGCUAUGUGAUGCGCUCUCGACGAGUCGAGUUGUUUGGGAAUGCAGCUCAAAAUGGGAGGUAAAUUCCUUCUAAAGCUAAAUAUUGGCGAGAGACCGAUAGCGAACAAGUACCGUGAGGGAAAGAUGAAAAGCACUUUGGAAAGAGAGUUAAACAGUACGUGAAAUUGUUAAAAGGGAAACGAUUGAAGUCAGUCGCGUUUGUUCGGACUCAGCCUUGCCUCGGCUUGGUGCAUUUCCUUAUAAACGGGCCAACGUCCAUGUGUCCUGCCGGAGAAGGUUCGAGGGAAUGUAGCUCCUCCGGGAGUGUUAUAGCCCUUGUUCGUAUACGGCGCGAGAUAUGGAGUGGAACAGCAUGCUUCGGUUGUGCUUGUGUUGA